GACGAACGCUGGCGGCGUGCUUAACACAUGCAAGUCGAACGGAAAGGCCCUUCUUUUGUGGGGUGCUCGAGGGGCGAACGGGUGAGUAACACGUGAGUAACCUGCCCUUGACGUUGGGAUAACUUCAGGAAACUGGGGCUAAUACCGGAUAGGAGCUCCGGCUGCAUGGUGGGGGUUGGAAAGUUUCGGCGGUUGGGGAUGGACUCGCGGCUUAUCAGCUUGUUGGUGGGGUAGUGGCUUACCAAGGCUUUGACGGGUAGCCGGCCUGAGAGGGUGACCGGCCACAUUGGGACUGAGAUACGGCCCAGACUCCUACGGGAGGCAGCAGUGGGGAAUAUUGCACAAUGGGCGGAAGCCUGAUGCAGCACCGCCGCGUGCGGGAUGACGGCCUUCGGGUUGUAAACCGCUUUCGCCUGUGACGAAGCGUGAGUGACGGUAAUGGGUAAAGAAGCACCGGCUAACUACGUG
This 468-nucleotide ribosomal RNA is filed under the name uncultured bacterium. Its description in RNAcentral is "partial 16S ribosomal RNA". It matches the Rfam family "Bacterial small subunit ribosomal RNA", at positions 28 to 507 of the family's 1533-position model. The record is from RNAcentral.